GGGGAAUAUUGCACAAUGGGGGAAACCCUGAUGCAGCAACGCCGCGUGAGUGAUGAAGGUCUUCGGAUUGUAAAGCUCUGUCUUUAGGGACGAUAAUGACGGUACCUAAGGAGGAAGCCACGGCUAACUACGUGCCAGCAGCCGCGGUAAUACGUAGGUGGCAAGCGUUAUCCGGAUUUACUGGGCGUAAAGGGAGCGUAGGCGGAUAUUUAAGUGGGAUGUGAAAUACCCGAGCUUAACUUGGGAGCUGCAUUCCAAACUGGAUAUCUAGAGUGCAGGAGAGGAGAAUGGAAUUCCUAGUGUAGCGGUGAAAUGCGUAGAGAUUAGGAAGAACACCAGUGGCGAAGGCGAUUCUCUGGACUGUAACUGACGCUGAGGCUCGAAAGCGUGGGGAGCGAAC
Molecule: ribosomal RNA, 400 nt
Filed under: uncultured bacterium
Lineage: Bacteria
Description: bacterial SSU rRNA
Rfam family: Bacterial small subunit ribosomal RNA
Source: RNAcentral